Mangifera indica (mango) is the source of this 1901-nucleotide RNA transcript. It is a transcript of the gene named negative regulator of systemic acquired resistance SNI1, with no coding region annotated. The transcript is spliced from 16 exons. The record is from RefSeq and is a predicted model, not a curated record. NCBI's taxonomy places the organism in Eukaryota, Viridiplantae, Streptophyta, Magnoliopsida, Sapindales, Anacardiaceae.
UUUAAAGAGGGAAUUUUGGCGGGAUUAUUUAUUUUUUUAAGAACUUUUCCAUAUAAUGGCUUUUAUUAGAUUCGAAAUAGGGUUCAAAUUUCUGGGGUUCGAAGAGCAUGGAGACAAGUCGCGGAAGAAGAAGCAACAUAACGGGCAUGGAAGAGAACACCUUAGCCAUCCUCGAAUCCACCGAAGCAAAAGACACUCAAGACGCCAAUGAUGAUAGGAUUGCUUUUCUUGAGGCUGUUAAAGCUGCUUCAAUCAUACCUGAAAUUGGAACUGCUCCAACCUUCAAAAUGUAUGAGGCUGUGUUUCAAAUUCUGAGGAUCGGGACAUCUCUAGAAUUGAUGAUGACAAGUUAUGAGCUUCUUAAUGAGUUAGAUAAGCGUUUUCCUCAAGUGUAUCUAUCCAAAUCAUCGUCUGAUGGCUCACAUGAACUGGUUGUGGUUAAUGAGGCUUGGUCGCCCUUUUUUCCUUGCGCAAAUGUUACUUGUGGUGAGAGGAAAGCAGGCGCAGAAAUCUCUAGUGGCUCACUUGAUUUUUCAUGUUUUAUUCUAUUGAUACAAGAGCUAGUUGAAGUAGCCAAUGGAACAAAUGUUAAAGCUAUAGACACAAAGCACCUGAGGAGUAUGUUAUUAUUUCAAUAUCUUGUCAGUGUAUUUGAAGGAGACUUCAUGCCUCGUAACAUUGUGUAUGAGGAAACAAUCAACUGGGUGCUUCUUCGGGAGUCCUUGCUCAGCAUGCUUCUGGGUUCAAGAAGAACAAAUUAUAAAAAUUUAAUGAAGGAUUGCUUGUCCAUUUUAUGUGGCCUUUGCCAAGCACAUACUGGACUCAUUAGCGAUCAUGGUUGUUCAGAGAAUUCUGUUAGAAAGCCAUCCGGAGAGCAUAAUACUCCUUUGGUGUUUGCUUUACUCGAAGUCGGAAAGAGUACUUGUAUAGCUAUGCAGAGGUUUCUGAUACUGAUUUUGAAGCUUGACAUAUCAAAGAAGAAUGCAAACAUGCAAGGUCUUACUAGCAGAGCUGAUGGUGUGAGAACCCCACUGAUGGAGAUUAUUCUGGAUGAGCUGACAUAUGAUUGGAAUAUGCUUUCUCCAUUUCUUCAGGUUUUCAGUGAACCAAAAUGGAAGCUUGAAAUAGUUGUGCAGUUUUUCUUGAAAUACACUACUAAGCCUUCUGUUCGCACACGGAGCUCAAUUGGUCCCACAAAUGAUGCAACAUUCAAUAGCGUUUUAAAUUGCUUUUCAAAUAGCGUCAGCACAAAGAACAUUGUGAAAAGGAUCAGUACUGAUAUAGUUCAGUUGCUUUUGGCACAUGCUUUUCAGGCACAUUUGUCAAUGUCAUACCAAAAUAUUGAAGGCAUCUCUGAUUCCAAGGAAGAGAUGAGAGAUGACUCUCUUCUCGAAAUAUGCAAGAAUGUAAUAUGUGCCUUUAACAUUUUGAGAAGCACAAAUGGAAAAUUGGAGAUUUUGCCUAUUGGAAAAGAAGCAUUGUUUACAGCAGCAACUAUCCUCUCAACAAACUCGUAGGAGUUUACAAAAAUCAUCCCAGUCGCUAUGCAAAGAAUUUCAUACCACUGAGUCGCAUACUUGAGAAGUUCAAGAAGGGAAACAUGGAGGAUUGCAAGAUUGCCCACAGGCGCAAUUACUUCUUCACAGCAAUAAAAGAAAAAUAAUUAAGAAAUGCGGUGGAGUCAUAGAAGAAGACAAUGGCAACUUACUGGGAGCAGCUUUUUUUGGAUACCUGUCACUUUUACUAUUCUAAUAAACAUAGGAAAUCUAAACUAUGGUAUCACAAAGAACAAGGCUAGCGAAGAACACAGUGGAUUGCUAUUUUUUUAUUUGACCCUUUGUAUUGAAAUUAUAUAUAUAGUAGUAUUAGACCACAAGAGCCAACGUGGGUGCAACUAUUAA